CCUACGGGAGGCAGCAGUGGGGAAUAUUGGGCAAUGGAGGAAACCCUGACCCAGCAACGCCGCGUGAGUGAUGAAGGUCUUCGGAUUGUAAAGCUCUAUUCUAAGGGAAGAAGAAAGUGACGGUACCUGAGUAAUAAGCCUCGGCUAACUACGUGCCAGCAGCCGCGGUAAUACGUAGGGGGCAAGCGUUAUCCGGAAUGAAGGGGUGUAAAGGGUGCGUAGGGGGUAUGGCAAGUCGGUAGGGAAAUUCCGGGGCGCAACCUCCGCACUUCUACUGAAACUGUCGGACUUGAGUGCAGGAGAGGCAAGUGGAAUUCCUAGUGUAGCGGUGAAAUGCGUAGAGAUUAGGAGGAACACCAGUGGCGAAGGCGACUUGCUGGACUGUAACUGACGCUGAGGCACGAAAGCGUGGGGAGCAAACAGGAUUAGAUACCCGAGUAGUC
This 443-nucleotide ribosomal RNA is filed under the name uncultured bacterium. RNAcentral's name for it is "partial 16S ribosomal RNA". It matches the Rfam family "Bacterial small subunit ribosomal RNA", at positions 338 to 795 of the family's 1533-position model. The record is from RNAcentral.